UCAUCUCCGGGGGUAGAGCACUGUUUCGGCUAGGGGGCCAUCCCGGCUUACCAACCCGAUGCAAACUGCGAAUACCGGAGAAUGUUAUCACGGGAGACACACGGCGGGUGCUAACGUCCGUCGUGAAGAGGGAAACAACCCAGACCGCCAGCUAAGGUCCCAAAGUCAUGGUUAAGUGGGAAACGAUGUGGGAAGGCCCAGACAGCCAGGAUGUUGGCUUAGAAGCAGCCAUCAUUUAAAGAAAGCGUAAUAGCUCACUGGUCGAGUCGGCCUGCGCGGAAGAUGUAACGGGGCUAAACCAUGCACCGAAGCUGCGGCAGCGA
Molecule: ribosomal RNA, 323 nt
Filed under: Salmonella enterica subsp. enterica serovar Muenchen
Lineage: Bacteria; Pseudomonadati; Pseudomonadota; Gammaproteobacteria; Enterobacterales; Enterobacteriaceae
Also listed under: 12 other names
Description: bacterial LSU rRNA
Rfam family: Bacterial large subunit ribosomal RNA
Source: RNAcentral